ACUGACGGCCGCCGGCGCACUGCCGGCCCCGAGCCUGGGAGGGCGGGGAGACAAUGCCCGCCCGGCGGGGUAGUCCAGGCCGCACGCCCCCGCCCGCCGGACACGGGCUGCUCCUCCCCGGCCGAAGGGCAACGGCGGAAAGGCGCCGGGAGCGAUUGCCAGAUCGCGCGCGGGGCCCCGCGCGCCCCGUCCCCCGCCCACCUCCGCGUGUACUUCACCCAACAAGUCCCGGGGGCGCAGACCCACCUCCUCCUCCAGGGUGCCGCUGGAGCCCGAGCCCGUGCCGGUGCCCGUGCUGGUGCCGUGCUCGCCGUCCGGCUUCAGAUCAAAGGUUCGGGUCCACGUUCUCCUGGUCUGAGGCUGCCUCAUCGUCAUCUGGGGACUCCUAUAUCAGAGCCAGAGAAACCCAGUCACAGGCUUGUGCCACCCCCGAGUCAUAGCCUGGGGGCCAGCAUCUCCUUCCUCUUGCCCCUGCUGCCAACGGAGCCAGAGGAGGCUCUGCCACCCCCUCCCCAUGGUCCUUUGGCCUUCCCUCUGUCCUAGCUCCCAGGCUGCCCAUGGCCACAUGGCCCACCAUUGGGUGACUCCCUCUUACCAGGCUGAGGCCCCUGUCCUGCCGCAGGGUAGCAUAGAAGCUCAGCACACGGGGGUCACAGCGAACCACCAUGGGGUCAAAGUCCAACACACACAGGCCCUGCAGGCUGCGGGCCCGGGAAAGGGCCACAUAGGCCUGGCCGCUGGCAAACACACGGCCCAGAGAGAUCUCCACGCAAUCCAGGGACAUGCCCUGGGGGAUAGAGGGACAGGGCUGGAGCCAGCUCAGCCUGAAUUCACCUGUGCCCAAGAACCUGACCCCACCUCCACCAGCCCAGCUAUUGCCCCUGAUCUCCUUGCCCAGUCCAGAGAUUCUGAGUCAGAGAGAGACAGGAUGAUGGGUGUCUGAGUAGGGAGGUGUCCAGGAAAUACAGAUCCAAGAUAAGAGUAGAGGGAUAAGGGUGAAAGGAAAGAGCUCAGGUCUGGGUCAGACAGUCAUGGAAAUGAAUCUUGGCUCCGCAGGGCACUAGCUGUGUGACCUUGGACAAGUUACUUAACCUCUCUGAGCCUUCUUUUCCUCUUCUGUAAAACAGGAAUGAUUAUUACAACUAUACCUCCUACAGUUGUCGUAAUAUGUUAAAAUUAAUAUAUCCAAUGGUGGCUCAGAAAAUGGCAGGGCCCGAGAUGACAGAGGGGAAGUGUAUGUGUCCAGGAAAGAGAGAGGAAGUGGGAUGGGAAAUGCACUAAAGAAAGGUUUAUUCUACAGCUGGUCUGGAACUUUCCAUCCAGGGCAAGUUCAACCCUCACAAAGCCUCUAAGACCCCCCACCCUUCAACAUGCCCCAGGCCUAUCCUGCCCCCAUCCCCACACUCACCUGGCUCUUGUGGAUGGAUAUGGCCCAGGCCAGCUGGAGGGGCAGCUGCUGCCGGCUGAGAAGCCGGCCCCCAGUGGCCUGCACCAUCCAGCGGUCAGCACGGAUGACCUCGGUGACUCCACACAGGAACCGCACCUGGGGCAGCCCUGAGGGAGGCGUGGAGAAGUCCCACCUUUCAGUCCCGCUUCAGGGCUCCGAGGUGCCCUUUGGAACCUGAGAAAAGGAUCCCACCCUCGCCAUUGUGGAAGGAAGGAGGAGGCUCACAGUGGAGGGUACACUACAGAAGACAACUGAGUGCGUAAUUCCCAGAGCGGCGGAUGGGCAGCGUCAAGUGCACCCAGGGUUGGGGAACCUCGGCUGUCCGACAAGGGCCACAGAAGAAGGGAUCCCCUGAGCAGAAAAGAAGCCUGCUUCCAAGAGACCCAGGGCGGGCACGAGAAUCCUGAGUCUUCUCCCCAGGAAGCAGGGGACUCUCACGUGUGGAGGUAAGCAGGGUACUGAGCUCCGUACUCAGGGCACUCAGCAGGUAAUCAGCGCCUUCUGUCUUCCAGGUACGUUCACUGGCUUAUACGCAGCCAAGCAGGUCUCACUAUUCCCCGUGUACAGAAGUGGAAAACAGGCUGAGAGAGGCCACAACGGCUAGUAGGAGUCAGGGCUUGUGUGAUUCUGAAGCCCCGGCGCUUCCCAUCUCCAAGGUGGGAUGGGGUAGAAAAUAUUUGGCUAGGGAAAUCGCGGAGGACCCUGGCGUCCGGGUUUCCGUUCACCCUCCGUCUGACCCACUUGUACGCACCCUCCCGGUAGGGACCCCUUGAAGAAGCAGGCGCUCUGCCUCCCACCUUUAGGAUCGGGUGAACACUCACUUGCGCCAGCACUCGGACGAACAAGCUGAGCAAAGUCGGCAUGCAGUCAAAAGUAGGACACUAGAAACUUUCAAAUACUGGGUGUAGAGAAUCACCCUAUCACCGGCCGGAUCUUUAAAUUUUCCAGCCAAUCAGAGACAGCGGGCGUGCCAACGGGAGUGUCUUUCUUUGGGUUUCAACUCUCGGGGCUUGGGCUGUACCAAUAGCACCCCGGAGGAAGGAGGCUUAUUGUGGUGGCGGAGCAUACCAAGUCGCGGACUAGUGGGUGUGGUGGGAGGGGGCGGGGACUGCAACUGGGCCGCGCGUGGUGUUGUGUCACCAAUCGCGUCUCUGAAGGUUUAUUUUCAGAACCUUGCCUCCAACACACACUCCCUCCUCUCUAGCCCUCGCACUAAGGCUGAACUUGGCCUUGAGGAAGAGCUGCCUCUGAUCCCUCUCUGUUUACACUCACAGGACCUUUGCCCAUUUCUGGGCAGACCCCCCAACCCUCGCGCGCGCACACACACACACACACACACACACCCCACGGCCUACUGCUCUCGCUGCCCACCCCGCCCCCCACCAGCUCUUUCCACACUUAUCUAUCUCUGUAACCAUCAUUUUACGCAUUUGUCUUUCCCAUGCGUCUGAGACCCAUGAGUGAGGAACUCUUGAGACCUGUGGCCAGGUGUUCAGAGUACAAGGGAAGUGUGUGGGCCUCUGUCUUCAGGGAAUUCGCAUCCCUCUCAUUGAACUGAAUGCUUAGGGAAUUCAUUUUUAAUUAUCUUUUUCCUCCCUCAUUAAAUCUUGGAAUGACAUAGCUAGAAGGCAUCUUACACGUGAGUCAGCCUGGUCAUUUAUUGAAUUGCCCCAUUUUUCUUUUUUUUUUUUAAUAAGGGAUUUUAAUGGUUCUUUUUUUUUUUAAUAGAGUUUUUAUUUAUUUAUUUAUUUAUUUAUUUAUUUAUUUAUUUAUUUUUGGCUGUGUUGGG
This is a long non-coding RNA of Balaenoptera ricei (Rice's whale), 3236 nucleotides long. RefSeq lists it as uncharacterized. Lineage: Eukaryota; Metazoa; Chordata; Mammalia; Artiodactyla; Balaenopteridae. The record is from RefSeq and is a predicted model, not a curated record. The transcript is spliced from 4 exons.